Molecule: long non-coding RNA, 2682 nt
Organism: Dermochelys coriacea (leatherback sea turtle)
Lineage: Eukaryota; Metazoa; Chordata; Testudines; Dermochelyidae
Exons: 2
Source: RefSeq, a predicted model, not a curated record
GCCGCGCAGCGCGGACACGGGCCGCAGCUCCCCCCCCCCCUCCGCCCUGCCCCGCCCCGCCUUCGGGGGACCGCCGCCGGCGCGGCUCCUUCGGCUGCACCGGGGGCUGCUGCGGCCGGAGCGCGAGGCGCUGCGCGGGACCUGUUGCGUUGGGAGCUGCGGCCGCUCCAGAAAGGGAGCCUUUCCACUUGAAGAAACGCUUGGUACCUGUAACUCAGGAGGAUUUAGUCUCUUGAAGCAAAGUUCUGUGACACUCGGACUCUGAUUAUGAUAGAAGUCAGUGCACUACAGAACUUUGUCUUUGGGGUCUGUAGCAGCGAAGAGGUUAAUGCAGCAGUCCUGAAAGGCUCAGGUGGACACGUCACUACAAUCUCCUUCCAAAAGGAGGUGGGAUCAGAGGAGAGAAUGAAAUGGGAGUGGGAGAGCAGACCAGGGUUCACUUCAGUAACUCUGCUUUGGGCUUGAAACAAAAACUUUGCUUUUAUAAUCUAGUGGCCUGCUAGUUUCUGAAGAUUUUGGAUUAAAAAUAGCACAACAUCUGGGUAUCGUAAAGUUAUUUAAAUGAGGCCAAUUUGACUGCAAGUAUAAAUGUGGAACUAAAUGCUACCAAUUAGUGGUCAUAUUAACAUGUUAGGCACUAUUCCUAUUUGCCUAAUCUCUGUAGACAUUAUAUAAAAGUUACUGAACACUUGUGCAAAAACCUUUAGUUUUAUUUAAAUAAUUAUGACAAUAGUUAACUGAAAGCUAUUUUAACUAGAGUUGAAGAAAUGACUUGGUACUCUUCAUUAGCAAGAUCUAGGAAAUGUUCCACUCAAACUAUUACCAUUGUCUGCAAUUUGCAUAUUUUGUGAUGUGCUACAUCAUAAAGCAAUGAGUUGUCUUCACUUAAAAAUGUGAACUGCUAUGGGCUACUUGAAUACAAGGCAACUUUGUUCCUGUAUUUUUAAUGUAGUUGGACUACUGUCAACAUUUGUAUUUAAGUACUUGCCGAAAUCUUCCUUUUGAGGAAAAGGUUUUUGAAGGACUAGUCUAAAUCAAUGUUUAAUAGUAAGAAAGAUGUGCUGAAGACACUAUAAUCUGACACACAGACUACACUAGUGGGUGUUGCAGCUCACAGCAAUGGUUGAGUUGGUUUUGAAUGUGAACAGAUGUCCAAUCAGGUCCAGAAUGAGGUGACCAAGCUCACUUCUGAAGCUAGCAACAGUAUAACAUUCACUUGUUAGCUUUAGAAAUGCUGCACAAUAUCAAAUACAAAUGGUAAAUAUAAACUUUCUUUAAGGUGGGCUUAACCAAAAGAUGAUUAUUCUUCUGAUAGCCGAGGCAAUUGUUUCAACAGCAAUCAAAACAAAUGAGGGUGUUUUGGAUAUUGACUAGUCAUUACAAAUUAAGUAAUGACUUCAGGUGGCCCUUCAGCAACAGUAGCCUCUUCAACAAAUAGUUGCAUUGUAGUAGGGAAUGAAUGAAAAUAUAAAUAUAUAUAUAUUUCAGUAUUUUUCUGAUAGGGGUUUUGUGUUCAUUAGUUUCUUUGAUCUUCCACUACCCUAGAAACCUAAAUCAACUCUUCCUGUCAGUCCAUACCUGAAAGGUAAAGCAAGAGUAUCAGCUCACUGCGAGUUGGGCUGCAAUGUGAAAAGCUAUUCUAAAUAUAUAUAGUUUCUUUUAGCCAACCUAUUUCAUCAAAGGGUAAGUAAAGUGAAGAGCAUUUAGUGUAUGGUAGCCUGUGUGGUCAAUGUUAUGGCUGUAUUUGCUUUUUCCAGACCAGUUUUUGGCAAUUGCCUGCUGUUUUAAAUUGUACACUAUGCAGUUGUUUUAAGAGAAGGCUUGGCUACUACUCUGUGCAGCUCUUUAUCAGUAUGGCUAUGGGGCAACACCUUUUAUUGUCAGGGCUAAAGUCCCACUGCUUAUUUAACUUGGGAGUGGUUUCUGCCCCUAUAUAAAAUACACACGGAGUUACUAUUUUUCCAUGUUUUGUACAUGCUCAAAAGCACCAGACCUUAAGCAAAAAGGGCUCCCUAGUUUUAACACCUAAAUGUUAGUUGUUGUUUUUUUUCAGUCUUCAUUGCUGUGAAACACUUUUUUUUAUAUAUUUAACACCAUUAUAAAUGCUGGAGUCAAAGCAGGGUUUGGGGUGGAGGUGGACAGCUCAUGAUCCCCCCCACAUAAUAACCUCACAACCCCUUGAUGGGUCCUGCCCCCCAAUUUGAGAACCCCUGCUGUAUUUGGAGUUUAUCUUACACCAAUCCUGGGUCUAUGCUAGGACCAGAUUCUGAUGUUUCAAACUGUAAACCCUGAGUCUGUUAAUAUAGUCUUUCUGGAUUUACACCAGUGUAAUAGAUCAGAAUCUGUCCUUAAGUAAAGGCCUGAUUCAUUCUCUAACCUCUAAGUUGAAUGUGUAAGUUUUGGGGUGAAUUUUUUUGUUACUUACUCACCUGAGGAGUCCCACUCUAGUAAAUGUGACUAGAUACGUGAGUAAAUUGAGCAAGCUUUGCCCUUAAAGUAUCUGUUGGGAGAUUUUUUUUCAUUUGUCUCUGUGACUUUCUCACAAUGUGCAUUUUAGCUUGGUAGGGCAUGUGACACUCAAUACAUGCCAAUUUUCAGAUGGGAGUAAUACUUAUAUAGUGUACUUUAAGUGGCACUUAAGUUUUGAUAGCAGGUGGUCAGGUGACCUGAGGCAGCUCUGGG